UGGGGAAUAUUGCACAAUGGGCGGAAGCCUGAUGCAGCGACGCCGCGUGAGGGAUGAAGGCCUUCGGGUUGUAAACCUCUUUCAGCUCUGAAGAAGCGAAAGUGACGGUAGGAGCAGAAGAAGCACCGGCUAACUACGUGCCAGCAGCCGCGGUAAUACGUAGGGUGCGAGCGUUGUCCGGAAUUAUUGGGCGUAAAGAGCUUGUAGGUGGUUUGUCGCGUCUGCGGUGAAAACCCAACGCUUAACGUUGGGCUUGCCGUGGGUACGGGCAGACUAGAGUGUGGUAGGGGAGACUGGAAUUCCUGGUGUAGCGGUGAAAUGCGCAGAUAUCAGGAGGAACACCGAUGGCGAAGGCAGGUCUCUGGGCCAUAACUGACACUGAGAAGCGAAAGCAUGGGGAGCGAACAGG
Molecule: ribosomal RNA, 409 nt
Filed under: uncultured bacterium
Lineage: Bacteria
Description: bacterial SSU rRNA
Rfam family: Bacterial small subunit ribosomal RNA
Source: RNAcentral